UACGUAGGGUGCAAGCGUUGUCCGGAAUCAUUGGGCGUAAAGCGCGCGUAGGUGGCUUCGUAAGUCCGUUGUGAAAGUCAAAGGCUCAACCUUUGAAUGCCGAUGGAUGCUGCGAAGCUAGAGUACGGAAGGGGCGAGUGGAAUUCCUGGUGUAGCGGUGGAAUGCGCAGAUAUCAGGAGGAACACCAAUAGCGAAGGCAGCUCGCUGGGACGUUACUGACACUAAGGCGCGAAAGCGUGGGGAGCGAACAGG
This 253-nucleotide ribosomal RNA is filed under the name uncultured bacterium. RNAcentral describes it as "partial 16S ribosomal RNA". It matches the Rfam family "Bacterial small subunit ribosomal RNA", at positions 524 to 776 of the family's 1533-position model. The record is from RNAcentral.